UAUCUUCAGGGCGGGGCGCAAUUCCCCACCGGCGGUAAAGUCCGCGAGCGCGAAAGCGCCGAAUCGGUGAAACUCCGAUACCGACAGUAUAGUCUGGAUGGAAGAAGAU
Molecule: non-coding RNA, 109 nt
Filed under: uncultured Faecousia sp.
Lineage: Bacteria; Bacillati; Bacillota; Clostridia; Eubacteriales; Oscillospiraceae
Description: FMN riboswitch (RFN element)
Rfam family: FMN riboswitch aptamer (RFN element)
About the family: The RFN element is a highly conserved domain that is found frequently in the 5'-untranslated regions of prokaryotic mRNAs that encode for flavin mononucleotide (FMN) biosynthesis and transport proteins. This element is a metabolite-dependent riboswitch that directly binds FMN in the absence of proteins.
Source: RNAcentral